CAGUCGCCGCGGUAAUACGAAGGGUGCAAGCGUUACUCGGAAUUACUGGGCGUAAGGCGUGCGUAGGUGGUGGUUUAAGUCCGUUGUGAAAGCCCUGGGCUCAACCUGGGAAUUGCAGUGGAUACUGGGUCACUAGAGUGUGGUAGAGGAUAGUGGAAUUUCCGGUGAAGCAGUGAAAUGCGUAGAGAUCGGAAGGAACAUCUGUGGCGAAGGCGACUAUCUGGGCCAACACUGACACUGAGGCACGAAAGCGUGGGGAGCAAACAGGAUUAGAUACCCCAGUAGUCCCUGUCUCUUAUAC
Molecule: ribosomal RNA, 301 nt
Filed under: uncultured bacterium
Lineage: Bacteria
Description: partial 16S ribosomal RNA
Rfam family: Bacterial small subunit ribosomal RNA
Source: RNAcentral